CACGUAGGGGACAAGCGUUAUUCGGAAUUACUGGGCGUAAAGGGCAUGUAGGCGGCUUUGUAAGCCUGGCGUGAAAGUCACCAGCUCAACUGGUGGAUUGCGUCGGGAACUGCAGGGCUUGAGUCAUGGAGAGGAAGGUAGAAUUCCUGGUGUAGGGGUGAAAUCUGUAGAGAUCAGGAAGAAUACCAGUGGCGAAGGCGACCUUCUGGCCAAUGACUGACGCUGAGGUGCGAAAGUGGGGGGAUCAAACAGG
RNAcentral lists this ribosomal RNA (253 nucleotides) under uncultured bacterium. Its description in RNAcentral is "partial 16S ribosomal RNA". It matches the Rfam family "Bacterial small subunit ribosomal RNA", at positions 524 to 776 of the family's 1533-position model. The record is from RNAcentral.